Junco hyemalis (dark-eyed junco) is the source of this 1674-nucleotide long non-coding RNA. NCBI's taxonomy places the organism in Eukaryota, Metazoa, Chordata, Aves, Passeriformes, Passerellidae. The record is from Ensembl.
GUCCCCACUCUGGCUGCUCCCGGUGUCCCCUGCGUUUGGCUGGUUUGGAGUUUGCAGGAAUUCUUGGGAUUGGCCACUCCGUGUCCAUCGGGCUCCUGGUGGGGACAUCCCAAAAGUGGGGACAUCCCAAAAGUGGGGACAUCCCAAAAGUGGGAACAUCUCAGAAUGGGGACAUCCCAAAAGUGGGGACAUCUCAGAAUGGGGACAUCCCAAAAGUGGGGACAUCUCAGAAUGGGGACAUCCCAAAAGUGGGGACAUCCCAGAGGAGCAGGACCAUCCUGGGGUCAGCGCAUUCUGGUCCCAUGGGCCAUCCUGGGAUCGGAUCAUUCCAAUGUUGGAGGAUCUGAUGGAACGUUCUGGUGUUGGAAAAUUCUGGUCCUGGAUCCCUCUGGGCAUCCCAGUAAUGGGGCAUCCCCAGGGUGGAACGUUCCGGAAUGGAGCAUCCUGGUGUGGGACCAUCGCAGGGAUGGAGCGUCCUGGUGUGGGAUCUCCUGUUGUGGGGUUGUCCUGCUCUGGGAUCCUCUGCUGUGGGAUCUCCUGCUGUGGGAUCUCCUGUGGGAUCUCCUGUGGGAUCUCCCGUGGGAUCUCCUGCUAUGGGAUCUUCUGUGGGAUCUCCUGCUGUGGGAUCUCCUGCUGUGGGUUUUUCCUGCUGUGGGAUCUCCUGCUAUGGGAUCAUUGUGGGAUCUCCUGCUGUGGGAUCUCCUGUGGGAUCUACUGUGGGAUCUCCUGCUGUGGGAUCAUCCCAUUGUGGGAUCUUCUGCUGUGGGAUCUCCUGUUGUGGGUUCAUGCUGCUCUGGGAUCAACUCCUGUGGGAUCUUCUGCUGUGGGAUCAUCCCAGUAUCAGAGCAUCCCCAUGAUGGAACAUUCUGGUAUCGGAGCAUCCUGGUCUCAGAGCGUGCCAGUGUCACAACAUCCCAGUAUGGAGCAUCCCAGUAUGGAGCAUCCCAGUAUGGGACCAUCCCAGUGUGGAACAUCCCAGUAUGGGACCAUCCCAGUAUGGAACAUCCCAGUGUGGAACAUCCCAGUAUGGAACAUCCCAGUGCUGGACCAGAGCGGGGCUGGAGCAUCCCAGUAUGGAGCAUCCCAGUAUGGAGCAUCCCAGUAUGGAACAUCCCAGUAUGGGAUCAUCCCAGUAUGGAACAUCCCAGUGUGGGACAUCCCAGUAUGGAGCAUCCCAGUAUGGGACCAUCCCAGUAUGGAACAUCCCAGUAUGGGAUCACCCUGGUGUGGGAACAUCUUGGUGCCAGAGAUCCGAGUGAUGGAACAGCCCAGUGCCAAUCCAUCCCAGUCCAUCCCAGUGCCAAUCCAUCCCAGUCCAUCCCAGUGCCAAUCCAUCCCAGUGCCAGCCUAUCCCAGUCCCACUCCAUCCCAGUAAUGGAGCAUCCCAGUGCCAAUCCAUCCCAGUGCCAGUUUAUCCCAGUACCAAUCCAUCCCACUCCCAGUUUAUCCCAUUAUCAGCCCAUCCCAGUACCAGUUUACCCAAUACCAGUUUAUCCCAGUGCCAGUUUACCCAAUACCAGUCCAUCCCAGUGCCAGCCCAUCCCAGUGCCAGUUUAUCCCAUUAUCAGCCCAUCCCAGUGCUGGCCCAUCCCGAGGGGAAACUGAGGCAGGCUGUGGGCGGAGCGGGUGGCAGUGGCAGUGUUGGGGUCCCGCUGCGCCCCCGGGAGGACACUG